Cydia pomonella (codling moth) is the source of this 3102-nucleotide long non-coding RNA. RefSeq lists it as uncharacterized. The transcript has 2 exons. NCBI's taxonomy places the organism in Eukaryota, Metazoa, Arthropoda, Insecta, Lepidoptera, Tortricidae. The record is from RefSeq and is a predicted model, not a curated record.
GGAUCUGGGCCCUUAUUCGACAUGCUAAAAGUGACGUUUCGUGUUGAUUUCCAUUUGAUGUGGGAAAUAUUGUGACUUGUCGAAUUGCUAUCAUCAACACCUGUCAGUGAACAAUAUCCACACUAGAGGCGGGGCGUUGUACCGGAAUAGUUUUUGGAACAGGUUUUUUGUAAUAGACUACUUUUAGCUUGUCGAGUAUUUAAAAGUACGAACUUUGAUUUCUGAAAUAAAACAUAUAUGAAACUUUCAUCACCUCGUACCUCCAUUCUUACCGUUACUUUAAGCAAAACAAAAUUUUGUUAACAGACGGUCGUCUGGGCGUCUUUUGUAUCUAAAAAUAGUGUAAUAAUAUAUAAUAAAAAUAUGUCAAUGGAUUCAUAGCCUUCACUCAAAACGUCAUAAUAUUUCCGACCCCUACCGAAAUAAUAAGUCGAUAUUUGCAUAAAUAAUCCUUAUUUGUAAGACGCCUAAGACCGGCAAAUACGUAAACUGCCUAUUGGGGGUCAUACUCGUAAAAGUAGUAUUUUAGACGUACUUUUGGUACGAGUAACAGAGACGUACUUUUGGUACGCAGUCCCAGCUCUAGUCAGGAUUCUAGUUGUCAAAUAUAAGCGUGUCGAAUACGUAUUAGUUAACUGUCAAAUGAAAUUAGAUCAACGGUAGACUUUUUUGUCGAUGGGUAUGGCUGCCAUGUUUGGAUUUAUGACAUUUGAAAGGGGAUCCUAAGGCAGAGAGUAGUUUUUUCUGUACGAUUUUGAUUCUUCUACUUGACGCAAGAUGGAGUUAGCUGCCAAAUUCCGAUCUUGGCGUUAUAAAAAUAAACCGCAAGAACCAUGACGAUGACAUGCAGUUGCGUCGAUGUAGAUCUAUCAUAAAACGUACAUGUGACAAUUGCCCAGGAUUUAAAAAAAUCUUGACAAUUAAUAAAUGUCAAAAAGAAAACUGAUUUAUUAUAAAAAUACAAAUUAUAUAUAAAGUUUGAUUUUAAAACCAAUGGUCGUGGGUCCUAACCCCGGCUCUUAACAAUGAACAUCUUGUAACUUGUGUGCAAAAUAUCAUUUAACUUUUACCAAUUACUUUUCGGUUAAAUAAAAUAUCACGAGGAAGAAGUAGCCCCAAUAAGGUAUAUUUUCCCCUCUGGGUUAGAAGGUCAGAUGGCAGUGAGACAGGGAGAGAUAGUGAAGAAUGCGGCAAAAUAAUCAUUAAUUGUGUUGUUAGACUAGCUUUUUUUGUUAAUAUGAAAAUUGACGCAACAGCAAGCUCAAAGCCCCCUAUGAGCCAGAGCCUGUUAGGUGCAGGCUUAAUUGGCUCAUCCGAGGGAAGCGGAGCUUCGGCGACUAGCUGGUUGCGUCUGCUUAUCAACUUCUUCCAAUUCACUUUUACAUCAACUCCUUAUAAAUUUGUAAAUUAAGGUCAACUUUGUAAGAACUAAUACCUGUGCCAUACUAUAAAUUGGACGAUAUGCCUAAUUAAUUGUUAUUAAUGCUGAAUUUUUAAUGGCGUAUAAUAUAAGACAGCGGUCGUAUAAUGACUGAGAAAUUUGGAUUUUUCUGUUUGAAUAAACAGCAAACUGGAGACAUUGAGAUUAAUUAUAAACUUAUUAUUUUAGGUGUUAUCAAGAAAAAAGGUCUUAUCAGAUUUAUGAAUAGGCAUUGGCAGAAAAACAGGCGUCCGACCACGCAUAAUGGAGGAUUCUAUUUCUUUUAUCAUGUAGCUAUAUCUAUAUGACCUCUGCCGCCGACUUUUUCAACGUAUAAUAUAAGACAGCGGUCGUAUAAUGACUGAGAAAUUUGGAUUUUUCUGUUUGAAUAAACAGCAAACUGGAGACAUUGAGAUUAAUUAUAAACUUAUUAUUUUAGGUGUUAUCAAGAAAAAAGGUCUUAACAGAUUUAUGAAUAGGCAUUGGCAGAAAAACAGGCGUCCGACCACGCAUAAUGGAGGAUUCUAUUUCUUUUAUCAUGUAGCUAUAUCUAUAUGACCUCUGCCGCCGACUUUUUCACCCGUUGGCGCCUGUGCCCAAAUCCUUCUAAGACCGAAGCUUGCUGUUUCCACCUGUCCAAUAAGCUGGCACAUAAGACCCUCAGAGUUAGAUUCCGGGGUACAGCCUUACAACAUAACUAUUCCCCAAAGUAUCUCGGUGUUACACUGGACAGAAGCCUGACAUGCCGAUUGCACAUAGAGAAGCUAAAAAGUAAAAUAAGGACCAGGAUAUUUUAAUUACGAUACAUAAAUAACUACUAAAACAUGUUUUCUGCAAGAAAUUAGUUAUCUUAUUAUAUUAUAAAAUAUUUAUUAUCCAUCUGUGAUGUUUAUUUCUUGUGAAGAUAUCGAAGUUUCGCUGUGUAGCACUUAUCGAUAUAUAAUAUGAUCAAAAUCGACCCGUCCACAUCCCUAAAAAUCCACACAUACACAUUUUUACGCACAUAUACAAAGCAGUAUAACCACCAAAAUGGCUACGGCUUGAGUAUUCAAAUUUGUAUUGAGAAAAGGCAACUAUAUCCUGUCUUUAUUUGCCUCUCUAUCGCUCGAAUAUGCAAUACGCAUGCACUCUUCGUCAAAAUCGGUUUCAAACUUUUUCGACUGAGUACGCGCAAUAAACGCCUAGUAGUAGUAUUUAAAUGUUUACCGUAUUCAUUUAAAGCAUCGUAGGACAAUGCCGCUAUGUAAACUGUAAGGUGGGUCUUAAAUUAGUGUGAGUUAUUGGCACCGGACUCAACCUUCACGUUACAAUAUUUAAAGUAUUGCGCUGUCAUAGUAACGAAAAUGAUAAACACGUCAAUCGGAGUAAACAAGUAACUAAAUGAUGCAAACAAGAAAAUAUUGCAAAAUAGGUACAUAUAUAUGUACCGAUAAUUAUUUUGUGUUAAAAAUAUGAGGCAAAUUAUACUGCCCGAUUAUACGGACUACAUAUUAAAAACGAUUAUCUUGGAAACAGUCAAUAGAUGUCGAACCACCAGCAAAGUUUUUGAAGAGGUGUAGUUCCUGGUAUCAACUGGAAACUGAAACUAAUAAUCUACACUCAAGAAAAUGAAAUAUAGUCACAGAAAACUUUAAUGUUUUAUUUUAUUAAAGAAAAACGUUAAAAAAAUGUGUAAACAGAAA